AUGUGGAACUCCACUUUCAUGAUGCUAGAAGCAGCUUUACCAUACAAAGUUGAUUUUGAACGUGCAAAUCAUGUUGAGAAACAAUAUGAGCAUUUACCUAGUGCCAAAGAAUGGGAGUUUGCUGCAGAGAUGUUGGAGAGACUUGGAUUAUUCGAUGAGAUAACUAAGUUGUUCUCUGGAAGUGAUUAUGUGACUUCUAAUGUUUACUUCCCUAAAAUCUAUGAGAUUAAAAUGAAAACGAGACAGUGGGCCACUUCUAGCAAUUCAGUUAUAAAAAAACUCUCUGAGGAAAUGAAUACUAAAUUUGACAAGUAUUGGAAGGACAUUCAAGAUCUGAUGGGGAUGGCUACACUUCUUGAUCCUCGUUACAAGAGGCAUAUGUUGAUAGCUUGCUUUGCCAUGCUCCAUGGAAUUGAGCCAUCUUCUUAUGACAAUGUGUGGAUUCGGUUGAUGCAUUAG
Molecule: ribosomal RNA, 459 nt
Filed under: Triticum aestivum (bread wheat)
Lineage: Eukaryota; Viridiplantae; Streptophyta; Magnoliopsida; Poales; Poaceae
Description: partial small subunit ribosomal RNA
Source: RNAcentral